GGGGCGUUAGCUCAAUUGGUAGAGCUGCGGACUUUUAAUCCGUAGGUUCUGGGUUCGAGCCCCAGGCGCCCCAC
Molecule: transfer RNA, 74 nt
Filed under: Amycolatopsis deserti
Lineage: Bacteria; Bacillati; Actinomycetota; Actinomycetes; Pseudonocardiales; Pseudonocardiaceae
Also listed under: 2 other names
Description: tRNA-Lys
Rfam family: tRNA
About the family: Transfer RNA (tRNA) molecules are approximately 80 nucleotides in length. Their secondary structure includes four short double-helical elements and three loops (D, anti-codon, and T loops).
Source: RNAcentral